Molecule: non-coding RNA, 2050 nt
Organism: Oryza sativa Japonica Group (Japanese rice)
Lineage: Eukaryota; Viridiplantae; Streptophyta; Magnoliopsida; Poales; Poaceae
Source: RefSeq, a predicted model, not a curated record
AGGGAGCCGACAUAACCUUCAGCACAUCCUUCACUGAUGACAUCGAGCUUAUCGCCGCCUUCAGGAUCUCCCUCGAGCAUCCGGGCUUCACAAUGUUCCUCACCUGGGAUAUCAGUUUGACAAGCUUCAACUACAGGUCAACUGGAGAAGGAUGGAUAACUGGCUUUCCAGUAGGAACAGCUCCAGGACUGCGUGAGUGCCUCUUCACACUCAUCAUUGCCUGUUGUGAUUGGCAAAUGUUUCUGCAAGCUGAGCAGCAUCUGAAUUGGAGGUCACCCCUGAAGACAAGAUAACAUCAAGAAUUACACAAGUCCUUAAGGCAGAGAAUGUUUUUGAAAUAAGCAAAUUUGCUGGUAUAACCUAUUAGUACCUCCAAUGAUGACGAGGCCAUCCAAGUCAAGAUCACAGCAUGUUGACAUUGCAGCAUUCACUUGCUCAGUUGUGUGGAUUUGAUCAACAGUUCUGCCGAGAAAAUCAAAACCACCUUCAAGAAGGUAAAGACUUUCUUGUUAUAUAGGCCAUAAUAUAUUUAGAAAGCUAGCAAUCAAGAUCAAUAAAUUUAAACCUUGGUUUCUAUAUGCUGAAAGAACAUCAUCUGUGAUCUCCAAUGUCUGAUUUGCAAAUAGGCCUUCUGUGCCACCUAUUUAGAAAUACAAAGUUCUUCAUGAGACUUAUUUUUAUCAUAUCUUUUUGCAGGAAAUCAAUAUAUAUAUACUAAGCCAAUAAAUGUCACAACAAGCAAUCCAAUAAUGUAAAUAUCACACUGCUUCUUGUUAGUCCAUUUAAAAUCUAGAAAUUGAAAGUAUGCUCAAUUACUCACCAAUAAAUCCAAGCAAAACACUUUGUAGAUUUUGAGUUUUCAUAGCAUCAUAGAUGCCCCAUAUCACAUUGUGCCCCCCUGGCGAUUGCCUCCCAGAGAACACCACACCAACCCUAGAUUCAAGUAAAUAUCAAGCCUGAGAAUUGUGUGUUGAUAGAUCAAAUAUCAAGUUUUCAAUGAUAAAGAAUUGACACUAGUUGCUAUCACACUAAUUCGGUGUUCAAGCCAAACUUGAUUUGUUCUGAUUUUUUUUCUCAACUGAAAAAUGGAUGGGGUUUAGCACCAUUCUGAAAAAGGAAAACGAACCUGAUUGGUGGAUGUUCAUCGUUGGCUUGCGCAUCCAUCUUGUUCGGCUUCAGGAAAUGUACCAGAGGCUGACCAAAGGUGUUGGGAAAUUCCUGCACAACCAUAUUUGCGCAUGUCGGGUCGAUGGUCGUCGUCGAAUCGCCAAACUCCACUCUGAUGGCCUUUCCCUGAACAUGUUGGUUGAAAAACUUUGAGAGAAUACAAAUACAAGGACCUAAAUACAAAGUGAACAUACUGUGUUCAAAACUUGCAACUUUUCAUAAUUAGUGAUGAAAAAAAGUAGCUUGAUGCAGCUUGCAAGUGGUGAGGAUGAAGGAGAGCUUGCAAACCUCAAGGCAUGGAGGCAGCUCCGGCUGAUACAGAGCCCUCCUCUGCUGCAACCCGGUGAGCUCCCUCGGCUUGCCGAGGUCCGCGUUCAUGGACAUCUCCCUUCUUGCUCUUCUUGCUGCAAAGAAAGUACAAAGUACAAACUUACUUUGCAAUUUGUUCUUGGUGCAGUUUUUUUUUUUUCUCCUUGUGUUCUUGCAGCCCUUUUUGUAGGGAGACAAUGGAAGAAGAAGAAGAAAGUGAGACUUUUUGGUGCUCCUGCAGUUUCUUGGCCCUCUGAUGACACCAACAGAAAUUUGACCCCAGAUUCCAUUGUUGCAUUUGUCUGUGUGUUUGAUGUUCAAGGGUGCAACUGUGUGAAUUGUGAUUGGUCAAGUGGAGUGGCCUUCUAGGUUGCCAGGAUGCAGGUGACCUUUUUAUUUUUAUUUUUUUUAAGAAAAAUAAAAUCAACCUGCCUACACAAAAAAAUAUUUGAUACAUCUGACCAUAAUAAGUAUCACAACAGAAGUACAGAACCCUCUCUUGGGCUUUGUUUGUGAACAUUUAUCGAAAUUCCACACAAUUUUAGAGGAAUUGGUCUAUGUGUUGGACUGUUGA